GACGAACGCUGGCGGCGUGCUUAACACAUGCAAGUCGAACGGAAAGGCCCUGCUUUUGUGGGGUGCUCGAGUGGCGAACGGGUGAGUAACACGUGAGUAACCUGCCCUUGACUUUGGGAUAACUUCAGGAAACUGGGGCUAAUACCGGAUAGGAGCUCCUGCUGCAUGGUGGGGGUUGGAAAGUUUCGGCGGUUGGGGAUGGACUCGCGGCUUAUCAGCUUGUUGGUGGGGUAGUGGCUUACCAAGGCUUUGACGGGUAGCCGGCCUGAGAGGGUGACCGGCCACAUUGGGACUGAGAUACGGCCCAGACUCCUACGGGAGGCAGCAGUGGGGAAUAUUGCACAAUGGGCGGGAGCCUGAUGCAGCAACGCCGCGUGCGGGAUGACGGCCUUCGGGUUGUAAACCGCCUUCGCCUGUGACGAAGCGUGAGUGACGGUAAUGGGUAAAGAAGCACCGGCUAACUACGUG
Molecule: ribosomal RNA, 468 nt
Filed under: uncultured bacterium
Lineage: Bacteria
Description: partial 16S ribosomal RNA
Rfam family: Bacterial small subunit ribosomal RNA
Source: RNAcentral